GAUGAACGCUGGCGGCGUGCCUAACACAUGCAAGUCGAACGAACGGACGAGAAGCUUUUUUUCCUGAUGUUCGCGGGUGGCGGGUGAGUAACCCGUGGAUAACCUACCUAUUAUACUGGGUUACCUACGGGAAUACGCAGUUAAUACCACAUAAUAUCUCCUACCGCAUUGUUCCAUAGUGUAAGACGCUCUUCCCGUUACUAACAGUUGGAUCCGCGCUGGAUUAGCUAUUUGGUAAGGUAACGGCUUACCAAGGCAACGACGCAUAGCCGACCUGAGAGGGUGAUCGGCCACACUGGAACUGAGACACGGUCCAGACUCCUACGGGAGGCAGCAGUAGGGAAUCUUCCGCAAUGGGCGCAAGCCUGACGGAGCCACGCCGCGUGAGUGAUGAAGGUCUUCGGGUCGUAAAACUCUGUUGUUAGGGAAGAACAUAUGUGUAUUUAUAUGUGCACAUCUUGACGGUACCUAAUCAAUAAGCCACGGCUAACUACGUG
RNAcentral lists this ribosomal RNA (497 nucleotides) under uncultured bacterium. RNAcentral describes it as "partial 16S ribosomal RNA". It matches the Rfam family "Bacterial small subunit ribosomal RNA", at positions 28 to 507 of the family's 1533-position model. The record is from RNAcentral.